This 468-nucleotide ribosomal RNA is filed under the name uncultured bacterium. RNAcentral describes it as "partial 16S ribosomal RNA". It matches the Rfam family "Bacterial small subunit ribosomal RNA", at positions 28 to 507 of the family's 1533-position model. The record is from RNAcentral.
GAUGAACGCUGGCGGCGUGCUUAACACAUGCAAGUCGAACGGACAGGCCCUGCUCUUGCUUGGUUCUCGUUUGCCGAACGGGUGAGUAUCACGCGAGUAACCUGCCCUUGUCUUUGUGAUAACUUCACGAAACUGGGGCUCUUACCGCAUAUGAUCUCCUGCUGCAUGGUGUGCGUAGGAAAGUUUCGGUGGUUGUGGAUGGUCUAGCUGGUUACCCGCUUGUUGGUGGGGUAGUGGCUGACCAAGGGUUUGACGGGUAGCCGGCCUGAGAGGGUGACCGGCCACAUUAGGACUAAGGUACGGACCAGACGCCUACGGGAGGCAGAAGUGGGGAAUAUUGCGGAAUGGGCGGAAGCCUGAUGCAGCGACGCCGCGUGCGGGAUGACGGCCUUCUGGUUGUAAACCGCUUUCGCAGGUGACGAGGCGUGAGUGACGGUAAUGAAUAAAGAAGCAACGGCUAACUACGUG